GCAGACGUGGCCGAGUGGCUAAGGCGGUGGACUAGGAAUCCAUUGGGGUCUACCCGCACAGGUUCGAAUCCUGUCGACCGCG
Molecule: non-coding RNA, 82 nt
Organism: Ixodes scapularis (black-legged tick)
Lineage: Eukaryota; Metazoa; Arthropoda; Arachnida; Ixodida; Ixodidae
Source: Rfam